RNAcentral lists this transfer RNA (73 nucleotides) under Rhodococcus (subgen. Prescottella) equi. RNAcentral describes it as "Rhodococcus hoagii tRNA-Trp". It matches the Rfam family "tRNA". From Rfam's summary of the family: Transfer RNA (tRNA) molecules are approximately 80 nucleotides in length. The record is from RNAcentral. Lineage: Bacteria; Bacillati; Actinomycetota; Actinomycetes; Mycobacteriales; Nocardiaceae.
AGGGACAUAGCUCAGUCGGUAGAGCAGCGGUCUCCAAAACCGUGUGUCGCAGGUUCGAGUCCUGCUGUCCUUG